This 387-nucleotide ribosomal RNA is filed under the name Isochrysidales sp. Its description in RNAcentral is "SSU rRNA". It matches the Rfam family "Eukaryotic small subunit ribosomal RNA", at positions 572 to 978 of the family's 1831-position model. Lineage: Eukaryota; Haptophyta; Isochrysidales. The record is from RNAcentral.
ACUGCGCGGUAAUUCCAGCUCCAAUAGCGUAUAUUAAAAUGCUGCAGUUAAAACGCUCGUAGUCGGAUUUCGGGGCGGGUCCGCCGGUCUGCCGAUGGGUAUGCACUGGCUGGCGCGUCUUUCUUCCCGGAGACCGCGCCUACUCAUAAUUGAGCGGGCGCGGGAGACGGGACGUUUACUUUGAAAAAAACAGAGUGUUUCAAGCAGGCCGUCGCUCUUGCAUGGGAUGAUGCAACAGGACUCUCGUGCUAUUUUGUUUGUUUUGAACACCGGAGCAAUGAUUGACAGGGACAGUCAGGGACAGUAUUCCGUCGGAGAGGUGAAAUUCUCAGACCAGCGGAAGCCGAACCACUGCGGAAGCAUUUGCCAGGGAUGUUUUCACUGAUC